UGGGGAAUAUUGGACAAUGGGCGCAAGCCUGAUCCAGCCAUGCCGCGUGGAUGAUGAAGGCCCUAGGGUUGUAAAGUCCUUUUAACGGGGAAGAUAAUGACGGUACCCGUAGAAUAAGCCCCGGCUAACUUCGUGCCAGCAGCCGCGGUAAUACGAAGGGGGCUAGCGUUGCUCGGAAUUACUGGGCGUAAAGCGCACGUAGGCGGACCGAUAAGUCGGGGGUGAAAUCCUGGAGCUCAACUCCAGAACUGCCUUCGAAACUGCCGGUCUUGAGUUCGGGAGAGGUUGGUGGAACUGCGAGUGUAGAGGUGAAAUUCGUAGAUAUUCGCAAGAACACCAGUGGCGAAGGCGGCUCACUGGCCCGAUACUGACGCUGAGGUGCGAAAGCGUGGGGAGCAAACA
This 402-nucleotide ribosomal RNA is filed under the name uncultured bacterium. RNAcentral's name for it is "bacterial SSU rRNA". It matches the Rfam family "Bacterial small subunit ribosomal RNA", at positions 355 to 774 of the family's 1533-position model. The record is from RNAcentral.